ACAUUCACCUGGCAGGGAAGGUGGUUUUCUCAGGGCGAGGCAUAUCCAUUUCACUCCAUAUGUGCUGACCCCUGCAAUUUCCCCAAAUGUGGGAAACUCGAGUGCAUAAUUUGUGGUAGUGGGGGACAGUGUUCACUCUCUACCCUG
RNAcentral lists this small nuclear RNA (147 nucleotides) under Dasypus novemcinctus (nine-banded armadillo). RNAcentral's name for it is "U1 spliceosomal RNA (ENSDNOG00000026382.1)". It matches the Rfam family "U1 spliceosomal RNA". Rfam says of the family: U1 is a small nuclear RNA (snRNA) component of the spliceosome (involved in pre-mRNA splicing). The record is from RNAcentral. Lineage: Eukaryota; Metazoa; Chordata; Mammalia; Cingulata; Dasypodidae.